Long non-coding RNA from Chinchilla lanigera (long-tailed chinchilla), 619 nucleotides. RefSeq lists it as uncharacterized. The record is from RefSeq and is a predicted model, not a curated record. The transcript is spliced from 3 exons. Lineage: Eukaryota; Metazoa; Chordata; Mammalia; Rodentia; Chinchillidae.
GGGAGACCUAGUCUCCUAUGAUGUUGUCUGGUCACUGCUACUACUGAAUCUGUUUGGCUUUGAAGGACAGCAAUACUCUGGAAAUAUCAGCUCCCAUUUACUGUUUACUCUGAGCGAGGCACUCUACUGUCCUUGUUUCACCCAGCCCUUGUGACAACUGUGGGAGAGGGUCCGCUGGGAGCUUUACAGGCGAGAGAGCAAGGCUGGGAACUCACUGCCAUCUGCUCAUCCACAUGGCCAGAAGUACUGGAGGCAGACCGUGAAUCCAGUUGGUUUCCAGAGCCCAAGUUUUCAACUACUCUGCUGAGAAGUUUAGAUAAAACUAAGUUGGAAGAAUGGAAGAACUGAAGAGCAAGAGAAAGAACUUUCGCUCAGGUGGGGACUGCGACAGGGACAGCCACUGCAUUCUCUUCUCUAAAGGACUAUGAAGGUUGAGAGUAAGACUCUGUGUUGGACAUUUUAGGCACCUUGACAUUUUCCUGGCAGUGCGACACUUUGAUGAGGUGUAGGGACUGGGAAUUUGUUAUAUAAAUAGAAGUUGUUGUUAGAUACUUUAAUUUGGUGUCUACUUGACACAAGACAUUGUUGUCCAUGUUCUUUGAAUAAAAAUGCAAACAGA